This 279-nucleotide long non-coding RNA is filed under the name Mytilus galloprovincialis (Mediterranean mussel). The record is from RNAcentral. Lineage: Eukaryota; Metazoa; Mollusca; Bivalvia; Mytilida; Mytilidae.
AUAUGUCACCGUCGUAUUUAUGUGUAUAUUAAAUGGUUAUUCAUCAGUUCAUUUCAUUCAUUCAUUCAUUCAUUCCAUUGUCUGUUUCAUCAUACUCAUUAUGACGAUUGACUGAGACUGACGACAUUUCUAAUAUACGUCACUGCACAAUUUCAUAUACACGUCACUUCACACCUGAACGAUUUAAAUAAAAUAAAAUAUUAUUGCACGAGCGCGGGAAAAUAUGUGUACGCCUUAUUUUUAUAUAGAGAUUUAGGAUUUCAUUAAAUGAAUAGCAGC